GAUGAACGCUGGCGGCGUGCCUAACACAUGCAAGUCGAGCGGAGAAUUGUUGCUUGCAACAAUUCUUAGCGGCGGACGGGUGAGUAACACGUGGGUAACCUGCCCUAAACAAAGGGAUAACAAUGAGAAAUCAUUGCUAAUACCGUAUAAGCUUACGCUAUCGCGUGAUAGAGUAAGAAAAGAUUUAUCGGUUUAGGAGGGGCCCGCGUCUGAUUAGCUAGUUGGAGAGGUAACGGCUCACCAAGGCGACGAUCAAUAGCCGACCUGAGAGGGUGAUCGGCCACAUCGGGACUGGGACACGGCACAAACUCCUACUGGAGGCAGCAGGGGGGAAUAUUGCACAAUGGCGGAAACUCUGAUGCAGGAACGCCGAGUGAAGGAAGAAGUUUUUCGGAUCGUAAACUUCUAUCUACAGGGAAGAAAAAAAUGACGGUACCUGAGGAAGAAGCCCCGGCUAACUACGUG
RNAcentral lists this ribosomal RNA (465 nucleotides) under uncultured bacterium. RNAcentral describes it as "partial 16S ribosomal RNA". It matches the Rfam family "Bacterial small subunit ribosomal RNA", at positions 28 to 507 of the family's 1533-position model. The record is from RNAcentral.